CACAUAAGUUUUAUUUAUAUUAUUCUCACUUUAAUUAAGUUAUUUUAUUACUGUUUAGGUUAAACCUAAUUCACUGAUCUUUGGACCGCCUCACGCACACUGUCGCCUACCUCCCAGCCAACCACCGCCAGCCGCCGUCUUGCCGCCGCGAUUCAGACGCCGUUCUCCACCCCAUGAUUCAGACGCCGUCACCGCCUUCUGCGCGAAUCCAGCCGUGCCGUCCUCCGCCUUCUCCAGCCGCCCAUGUCGCCCAUGGCAUCACCAUAGCCAUCAGCAUAGGCCGCCGAUUCCCCAAUAUCCGACUCCAUAUCUCCCACCAUCAAUCCUCCCAACAAUCCCGCCCCCAAUCCUAACCCUAAUCCGCCGCCCAUUCCCAUCUUAUUCUUCUUCGGCCUCACUGAGUCUGGAUAUGAAAGAGGAGGGAGAGGCCGGGCUUGCCGGCUUGGUGAGUUCUAGCGGGGGAGAAAUCCCUGCCAGUGCUUUGAAGGAACCAUGGGUGGUGAUAAAGCAAUAAGUCUUGAAGAGAUUAAGAAUGAGACUGUUGAUCUGGUAUAAACUCAAUUCUUCCUUCUAUUCUAUUUCUAAUCAUUCUCAAUUUUAUCGAAGGGGAUUAGCUGUUUUUUUGUUGUUAUUUGAUUAGCUGACUGAAGAACCUUCGUUGCUUGCUGCAUAAAGUAUUGUUUUGGUUUUAUUAGUUACUCGAUUUCUUUCUGCAGAAAUAGAAUAGAUUGAUAUUUACGGCUAUUGUAAAAGUUUCUCAGAUUUUGACGAUUAGAAAGAUGCUUUAUAUGAUUGGAAUAUCCUUAAUUUUAAUUAAAUAAGCCACAUAGGAUAUAUGAUUGUUUUAGUACAAGAUUUAAUGUAACAUCUUAUUUCAGAACCAACUGAUUAUUUUGCUAAUUAUAUACACUAAGAUUUCUUGAAUGUAUGUUUCAAUGGGAUAUCAUAUUGCUGUAAUGUUAUUUCCUUCACAAUCAUUUGUUUUUCUUUGGAGUCUUCCUUUUCCGGGAAUAGUAGCUUUGAGAAACUACUAGCCGGGGAACGAAGAGAUUCCGAAAGGUCUCAGAUCGUGACGCGUUCUAAGCCUCUCUAGAAGGAUUGGAGACAGGAAUGAGACCCGUGAUGUACCCACCAUCAUGCUAGAUAGACAAAGUCCUUUAAAGUCGAGGUGGGAACGAGGUCUGACAAUCGGGAACAAUUUUCAAACAUUUUUCCUGAUGAGGCCAAUAUGAAACUCAAUGAACAACAAUUGUCAUUCCUAUCAAGUCCUAAGGCAGUGAAACCAGAGAGAAAAUAUAACAAAUAUUAUCAAGCAGAAUCUAGCUGUUGGUGACAUAUUCAAACGCGAAAACUUGCAGGGUACACUUUGACAGCAUGUGGUUGUUGUAUUGAGCUAUUGGCUAAAAAGGGCUGUGCUGCUAACGCUUAUGCUUAUAGCGCAAUUAUUAAAAGUUUCUGCAAGGGCGGGAUGAUUGGAAACAUGCUGCAGUUGUUGCACAAGAUGACCGAUUGGAGCAUCUCACCGGAUACUGUCACUUACACCUGGAUCAUACAUGGGCUGUGCCAUGUGGGCAGAUGGGAAGAUAUGCGAGAACUGGUACACGAAAUGAUUGAUAGGAAGAUGAUAUCUUUAAACGUGAUCUCUUUUAAUGUAUUGGUGAAUAUGCUAUGACACCAUGAUAAAGGGGUUGUUGUGUGUGGGUAGAUUUGCAGAGCGCUGGAAGCUCUUUGGUGAUAUGGAGGCUCAGGGAGUUCAUCCUGAUCUGAUCAUAUAUAAAAAAAGUUUCACACAGUUUGUAUUAUACUAUGUAAUAUGGAAGUCUUUUU
Molecule: long non-coding RNA, 1827 nt
Organism: Salvia miltiorrhiza (redroot sage)
Lineage: Eukaryota; Viridiplantae; Streptophyta; Magnoliopsida; Lamiales; Lamiaceae
Exons: 5
Source: RefSeq, a predicted model, not a curated record